GCGCACGCCCUGGGUAAUGGGGGAAACGUUUCGGAACGGACGCUAAUACCGCAUACGUCCUACGGGAGAAAGCAUGGGGACCUUCGGGCCUUGCGCUAUCAGAUGAGCCUAGGUCGGAUUAGCUAGUUGGUGAGGUAAUGGCUCACCAAGGCUACGAUCCGUAACUGGUCUGAGAGGAUGAUCAGUCACACUGGAACUGAGACACGGUCCAGACUCCUACGGGAGGCAGCAGUGGGGAAUAUUGGACAAUGGGGGAAACCCUGAUCCAGCCAUGCCGCGUGUGUGAAGAAGGCCUUUUGGUUGUAAAGCACUUUAAGCAGUGAAGAAGACUCCAUGGUUAAUACCCAUGGACGAUGACAUUAGCUGCAGAAUAAGCACCGGCUAACUCUGUGCCAGCAGCCGCGGUAAUACAGAGGGUGCAAGCGUUAAUCGGAAUUACUGGGCGUAAAGGGAGCGUAGGUGGCUCUAUAAGUCAGAUGUGAAAAUCCCCGGGCUUUAACCUGGGAACUGCAUCUGAAACUGUAGAGCUAGAGUAUGUGAGAGGAAGGUAGAAUUCCGGUGUU
RNAcentral lists this ribosomal RNA (563 nucleotides) under uncultured bacterium. RNAcentral's name for it is "bacterial SSU rRNA". It matches the Rfam family "Bacterial small subunit ribosomal RNA", at positions 121 to 676 of the family's 1533-position model. The record is from RNAcentral.